UUGAUUCAAGCAAACUAUAGGAUAUUAAUUGACUUCAAAUUAGUGUUAUUGUGAUCUUUCCUUCAAGUUUUUUUUUUUCCUUUUUGAAAAGGAGACAGCUUCUUUAUUAUUAUAAACUCAAAGUACAAGAGAGCUAUACAAUGAGAAUAAUAGGAAAGCCAAGAAAUGGGGGAGAGAGAGAGGAUCAGAAGGUGCACCCAGACAACUCAACUAGGUUGACACCCCCAUAUCACCCUCAUCAUAUCCAAAAUACAAAGAACAAGAACAAUACUAAAGUCAUAAAAAGACCAAAGUAACAACCUAAAUAACAAUAGAAGCUACCUACGGUAGACAAAAUCAAGGCUGAAAAGUUAAAACAUAAUGGCAGAAAUACAUAUUAAAGCCCAUCCAAACUACAGAACUUCAAGUUUAUUUGGUUUCUUUACACGUUAAUUACAAUGCUUCCUCAUUGUUUUUCUUUUCAGUCCUUUGUUUGAACCUUGAGUUUUUUGAUAUUGAAUUUGUUUAUUUGUUUUCUUUAGUAUGUUAUAUUAGAAGUUUUUUAAAAAGAAAAUUUCCGUAGUUUUCAGUGAAUGAAGUAAAAUUGGACUUCUGAAGUAGUGUUGUUGUGCGAGCUGAACUCAGUAAAGUUGAUGAUAUUAUUUUAACAUUUGAGAUAAAUAUUAAUUACUUAAUUUGAUGAAAUUGGCACUAGAGAGUGUUGACGAUCUCCUCGUUUGGGCUUUUCGUUUUAGUUGGCAUUCGUUUUGUUAGUCUCAAAUUCCUGCCCAUGAAAUCCAGAACCAUGGAAGCCCCUUGGUUACAGAAAUAAUAGGAUUGUUGGUAGAAUAUUAGUAUGGUUAUUACUUAUUAGAAGGGACAAAAUAGUAAUUAGUUAGGGUUUUUUGUUCUAAAUAUAAGGUGUGGGCUGAAAGGAAGAGUGGAGAAUUUUAUGGGAUUUCCUUGUGAGGAAAUUUGGGAGAGUCUAGCCCUCUCGAAAGGCUAGUGGUUACCUUGUUGUUCUUAUGAUAUUAUAACAUAUUAUCAAUAUAUUUCCAUAUAAUUCUAUCUUUUUGUGUUCCUUGUGACUCUUUGUGUUCUUGCGUUUUUUAUUGUUAAGAGGGGAAAUGUGAGAUCCUAACAAGCCAAUCUCUUCAUUUUCUUCUAGGAGAAAAACACCCAUUAAUGGAAAUUUAGAACACAUACUCUUGGUAGGAAAUGGAUUAGCAUUUACCAAUCUCUGACAGAAAAGAACACUAAAUGGAUUAGCAUUUACCAGCUGUCAUGGUGUGCCGAUUAUUUUAUUACUAAUCUUUUAAUUUUGGACAUGGCUGGGACACGGCUUUGACACGAAAACUGUACACUUGGAAAUAAAAUAAUUAAAACUAACAUUUGCCCAAAAGCCCAGCCCAAAGACGCAUCAACCCCACAUUUUAGGGUUAUUAUUACUGUCCCUGUCCUUUUCUUUUCCACAAAAACAGACCUCCCACAGCUACAAUAUCUCUCAUUUCUCCAUGCCCAAAAAUUCACACCCAAACCUUCAUGCAUAAAUUCAUGAAUUUUAUGGUGUUUAACUUAUUAUCUGAUGUUUUUAAAUGGAAUAUCUGACAAUAUGUUUAUAUGCUGGACAUAUGCUUAAUUAUUUUAAUAAGAAAAUAACGUGUCACCAACGUGUCGUGUCCUACUUUUAUUUUAAAUUGGUGUAUUUUCGUGUUGGCUCCCUUAAUGUCCAUUCCUCUCAGAUUUGGAAAAUAAGGGAGCGACUAUUCUUUUAAAUGAUCAGACAGGAGGAAGGCAAGCUGUGAGAUUAUCCAUAUUUGUUUUCCCAAGUUGGUGAUCUUACAUUUAAAUCUUAGAGAGCUUCUUAGUCAAUAUAAACAACUUGUUUAACAUCAUCAAGAGUCUUUCAAAGAACCUGAAGAUGUUAGAGAUGUGACAUCAAAUGAUGAGUCCGCUGGAGAGAGACAUAGGUUAAUUGGUGGCCCAGAUGGAACCUCGCUGUUUGGAGAAUAAAAUGUUAGUUCCUAGUGACAGUUUAGUUUUAUUGUUAUGCACAGGAUAACCUUCAAAAAGACGUAUUGGUGAAGGCAUGGGAUAUAAUUAAUUUGUUAUUAAUUGAAGAUCACUUAAUAUCACCUACUUGAGAGUUGAGAUAGUAUAAUAGUUAAUACCUUAAGUGACUUGCUACAUAAUACUUUGGACUAUUUAGUUUGGGCAAUUUCAAUCUCAAACUUGGGAGACUCAUAAGAUUUGUAUGCCUAAUAAAUAAUGCAUGAUGCAUAUGUGUAUCUAUGAGGGUGCUUCAAUUUUCCAAGUUUUAGAUCAAUAUUUUUUGUUACUGUAUAUUGAAAGAGUUUGGCUAACGUUGAUUUUUUUUCUCUAGAGACAAGUCUUUAUCAUGUGUGAGGAUAUUGAUUGUUGAGUUUGAAAAGUAAUAUACACAUGCAUAAAAUUUUGGCUGAACACUUUAUAUCGGCAGCUUUAUUGUAUCAUUUUCGAAUAAUGCUCCCGAUCCUGAAAGGGAUAGUGCUUCUGUCCAAGAAUUCUUUGCCAAAAUGGAGGGAGCUUUCAGAGCUCAUCCACUUUGGUCUGGUUGCUCGGAAGAAGAGCUGGAAAGUGCUGGUGAGGUGAGUUCACUACUUUUGAGCAUGUGAAGCAAAUAAUUAAUUUUCAGCGUUUAAAAGAUCUGGACAAGGAGACUUCUAUUUGAAACAUAAUGUACAGUACAUUUAAUAUUGUUAAAUAUAGUAAUAAAAUUAACCUACAUGUAAAUGAGCAACGCACAUACCGUUCCCAUGUGCAUACAAAACAAACUUCACAUAAUUAAUGAUACCAAGAUAACUAAACCAAGAUCUUUUAUCUUUGUGCAUAUUUUUGAGAAAACUUGCAAAUUAUCUUUCUAAAGGGAUCGUAUAUUAUGUAAAUUUGCAAUAGCACAGGGUUUAUGUCCAAAGUAUUUACUGCUUAAGUGAUUUAUUAUUUCGAACAUUUAUUCUCUUUUCUAAUCCACACUGUCUAUUAAAUACAGGGAUUGGAGAAGUAUGUCAUGACAAAGUUAUUUUCUCGUGUCUAUGCUUCACUUGCAGAUGAUGUCAAAAUAGAUGAACAAAUUUCUGAAAAAAUGGCAUUGAUUCAACAGUUCAUUAGGCCAGAAAAUUUGGAUAUCAAACCAAAUUUCCAAAAUGAAACAUCAUGGUUGGUGAGUCAAGUUAUCUUCAUAUAGUUUUUGCAAUUUUCAUCUCCUCUCUCUUAAACUUUGGAUCCUUCUGAUUCUUUAUUUGGGCAUAAAUCAUACUUUGAAGUUCUUUUGAUACAUUUUGCCAGCACAAGAAUUUUUCAUCAAGUGAUGCUCUAUCCAGCGAAUUUAACUGAAAUUUGUAAAAACAUUUCUCCUCAGCAUAUCAUCUAUUAAACGUUUGCAUAUUUUAUCUGGAUAUUCAAGUAUAGUUAAAAAUGUCACACAAAUAAAUUUUCUGUAUCUUUGUUGCUUCCUUAUUCUUUGGUAAUGCCAAAGUGUAGUUGGAAUUGUUAGAGAACCAAUUCUGGGAUCAGUUGAUGCCUAUCCAUAAUGAACAUAAAAGAAUUUUACACGAACGUAAUAUUUUAAUGUAUAUUCACUUGAAAUGAUUAUGAAACCCCCCUAGGUUCUGGAAAAUUCUCAAGUUAUAUUUUAUGUUUUCCAUGAGGAAAUGGUGGGAGAAAGACGAUGAAAUACAAAGCUUUUUGACACAUUCUUUUUAUGGAAAGAUGAAUGAAGUUUCUUCCACACAGGCUUGUUCUCACUCUCUACUCUGAUAAAAGAAUUUCUUUAAUUCAAUUUUUUAACGGAUCUUGUCUUUAAUAACUCAAACUUUCUUUUUUGAAUUAGGUCAUACCUGACAUUUUAGUAUGUGGAAUUUUCCACCUGAAUCUUUGCAGGUCAUUAAUACAAGUCUCACCUCCAUGUUUACGUUUUAUUGACAGCUUGCUCAGAAAGAACUCCUGAAGAUUAACAUGCACAAAGCUCCAAGAGAUAAGCUUGUGUGUCUUCUCAGUUGUUGUAAGGUCAUCAGUAACUUGCUAUUUAAUGCUUCGAUUGCUUCAAAUGAGAAUCCUCCAGGGGCUGACGAAUUUCUUCCUGUCCUCAUUUAUGUUAUUAUAAAGGUGAUGUUUAAAAUGAUUAUUUAAUGUCAUAUCUAAUGAUGUGAUUACUUGUGAUGCUCUUUGGACUAUAGCAUGAACUCUUACGUGUCAGCAUUUGAUAUUAUGGUAUUUUCAUUGAACACCAGCAAAUUCUAGUCAUAUCUAUUUGGCAUUAACAUGAAAAGUUAGUCUUAUAUACUACAAACUAUUUGUUUCAUAUCUUAUAAGAUAGCUAUUGAUGUAUAAAAUGUAGAAACUUAUCACAUCAUGCUCAUAAAUGUGUUUUUUCAUGCACAAUCUCUUGUAGGCAAACCCUCCACAACUGCAUUCAAAUUUAUUGUAUAUACAACGAUACAGGGGUCAAUCCCGAUUAACUGGAGAAGCAGCAUAUUUUUUCACAAAUGUACUCUCUGCCGAGUCAUUUAUCUCAAACAUUGAUGCAAAGGCCCUCUCAAUGGAAGAAAUUGAGUUUGAAAAAAACAUGGAAUCUGCUCGAGCUCUCCUGUCUGGGCUCUCUAGUGAUGUUGAAGCUCUUUCUAACAAAAAUAACUUGGAUGAAGGGGUAGGCCAUUAUUCAGAACUUGUAGAAACCAGUUCUCAAGCUUCUGUUGAAUCUCCAGUUAGACCUAAACCCACUGAAGGGAAGCCUAGAACUGAGGCACCACAUGCCAAAGAUCAAUCAGCAGUAAUGAAAGUUCCAUCCCUCUCAGAUUUGGAAAAUAAGGGAGCGACUAUUCUUUUAAAUGAUCAGACAGGAGGAAGGCAAGCGUUGCGGGAGUAUCCAUAUUUGUUUUCCCAAGUUGGGGAUCUUACAUUUAAAGAUGUAGAAGAGCUUCUUAGUCAAUAUAAACAACUUGUUUUCAAGUAUGUUUCCCUUUCUAGAGGUCUGAGUCUGACAACUGAAUUUUCAUCCUAUUCAAAAUCUGAAAUGCACUCCCAACAUCAUCACGAGUCUUUCAAAGAACCUGAAGAUGUUAGAGAUGUGACAUCAAAUGAUGAAUCCGCUGGAGAUAG
RNAcentral lists this long non-coding RNA (5115 nucleotides) under Cucumis sativus (cucumber). RNAcentral describes it as "long non-coding RNA (CSAT_LNC000600)". The record is from RNAcentral. Lineage: Eukaryota; Viridiplantae; Streptophyta; Magnoliopsida; Cucurbitales; Cucurbitaceae.